Molecule: ribosomal RNA, 687 nt
Filed under: Ciona savignyi (Pacific transparent sea squirt)
Lineage: Eukaryota; Metazoa; Chordata; Ascidiacea; Phlebobranchia; Cionidae
Description: rRNA (ENSCSAVG00000012488.1)
Source: RNAcentral
AUUUUUUAAAUAGUAAAUUUUAUUAAGGUUUCUUUAAUUAGAAUUUAAGUCUAUAAAUUAUUAUUUUUUUUUAAAAGUUAGACAGAUUUGUGCUAUGAUUUUUUUAACACAGUUUAAAUUCAAUUAAUAGGUCAAUAAAGGUGCCAGCUACCGCGGUUAUACUUUAUAUUUAGGAUUAAAUAAGUAUAAAAAAUGUUGGGAUUUAAUGGGUGUGGAAUCUGAUUUAGUUUAAAGUUAUGCAAUUGAAAAUUUAGGAAAAAAAUUGGAUUAGUACCCAAGUAUUAAUUAUACGAAGUAAGAGAUUAGUUUAAUACAUUAAUUAAUUAGGCGGUCAGUUUAACAUAGGUAAGCUUGUGAAUUAAAAUGAUAAUACUCACUAAAAUUUGUACUAGUAAUAUAUUGUUGUGUAUAUCCGUAUGUUUUUUCUAUUUUGAUAGAGGAAAAAGAUAAAUGUAGAUGAAUAUUUAAUAAUGCAGGUCUAUAUGCACCUACUACUAGGUUUCAUUAGCUAUUAUAUUUUUAAAAAGAUUAAUGCAGGAUAGAAAAUGCUUAGCCAAACUUAUAAGUAAAAAUAAUAAUAUUGUUUUGAAUUUAAAGGACUGGAGCACUCACUGCCCGCUAUGUGGUAUAACUACGAAGGCGUAACAAGGUAGUUUAUCUAGAAAGAUAAACUGGUAAACAAAUAUA